RNAcentral lists this ribosomal RNA (225 nucleotides) under uncultured bacterium. RNAcentral's name for it is "partial 16S ribosomal RNA". It matches the Rfam family "Bacterial small subunit ribosomal RNA", at positions 109 to 334 of the family's 1533-position model. The record is from RNAcentral.
AGUAGCGCGUGGGUAACCUGCCUCAUACAGGGGGAUAACAGUUGGAAACGACUGCUAAUACCGCAUAAGCGCACGGGAUUGCAUGAUCCAGUGUGAAAAACUCCGGUGGUAUGAGAUGGACCCGCGUCUGAUUAGCCAGUUGGCGGGGUAGCGGCCCACCAAAGCGACGAUCAGUAGCCGACCUGAGAGGGUGACCGGCCACAUUGGGACUGAGACACGGCCCAA